RNAcentral lists this ribosomal RNA (429 nucleotides) under Pseudomonadota bacterium. RNAcentral's name for it is "Proteobacteria bacterium partial 16S ribosomal RNA". It matches the Rfam family "Bacterial small subunit ribosomal RNA", at positions 355 to 776 of the family's 1533-position model. The record is from RNAcentral. Lineage: Bacteria; Pseudomonadati; Pseudomonadota.
UGGGGAAUAUUGGACAAUGGGCGAAAGCCUGAUCCAGCCAUGCCGCGUGUGUGAAGAAGGUCUUCGGAUUGUAAAGCACUUUAAGUUGGGAGGAAGGGCAGUAAGCGAAUACCUUGCUGUUUUGACGUUACCGACAGAAUAAGCACCGGCUAACUCUGUGCCAGCAGCCGCGGUAAUACAGAGGGUGCAAGCGUUAAUCGGAAUUACUGGGCGUAAAGCGGGCGUAGGUGGUUCGGUAAGUUGAAUGUGAAAGCCCCGGGCCCAACCUGGGAACUGCAUCCAAAACUGGCUAGCUAGAGUAGGGCAGAGGGUGGUGGAAUUUCCUGUGUAGCGGUGAAAUGCGUAGAUAUAGGAAGGAACACCAGUGGCGAAGGCGACCACCUGGGCUCAUACUGACACUGAGGUGCGAAAGCGUGGGGAGCAAACAGG